AUUUAUUUAGCUCAGUUGGUUAGAGCAUGAUGCUGACGACGCCAAGGCUGCAGGUUCUAUCCCCAUAAGGGACA
RNAcentral lists this transfer RNA (74 nucleotides) under Podarcis lilfordi (Lilford's wall lizard). It matches the Rfam family "tRNA". Rfam says of the family: Transfer RNA (tRNA) molecules are approximately 80 nucleotides in length. The record is from Rfam by way of RNAcentral. Lineage: Eukaryota; Metazoa; Chordata; Lepidosauria; Squamata; Lacertidae.